CACUAGUGAUUGUUUGAUCCUGGCUCAGGAUGAACGCUAGCGGCAGGCUUAACACAUGCAAGUCGAGGGGUAGAGGAAGCUUGCUUCCUUGAGACCGGCGCACGGGUGCGUAACGCGUAUGCAACCUACCUUUUACAGAGGGAUAGCCCAGAGAAAUUUGGAUUAAUACCUCAUGGUAUAUAUCAUUCGCAUGUUUGAUAUAUUAAAGUUCCAACGGUAAAAGAUGGGCAUGCGUCCUAUUAGCUAGAUGGUAAGGUAACGGCUUACCAUGGCAACGAUAGGUAGGGGUCCUGAGAGGGAGAUCCCCCACACUGGUACUGAGACACGGACCAGACUCCUACGGGAGGCAGCAGUGAGGAAUAUUGGACAAUGGGCGCAAGCCUGAUCCAGCCAUGCCGCGUGCAGGAAGAAGCAUCUAUGGUGUGUAAACUGCUUUUGUACGGGAAGAAACACUCCUUCGUGAAGGAGCUUGACGGUACCGUAAGAAUAAGGAUCGGCUAACUCCGUGCCAGCAGCCGCGGUAAUACGGAGGAUCCAAGCGUUAUCCGGAAUCAUUGGGUUUAAAGGGUCCGUAGGCGGUUUGGUAAGUCAGUGGCGAAAGCCCGCAGCUCAACUGUGGAACGGCCAUUGAUACUGCCAGACUUGAAUUACAAGGAAGUAACUAGAAUAUGUAGUGUAGCGGUGAAAUGCUUAGAUAUUACAUGGAAUACCAAUUGCGAAGGCAGGUUACUACUUGUGGAUUGACGCUGAUGGACGAAAGCGUGGGGAGCGAACAGGAUUAGAUACCCUGGUAGUCCACGCCGUAAACGAUGGAUACUAGCUGUUGGGGGCAACUUCAGUGGCUAAGCGAAAGUGAUAAGUUCCCACCUGGGA
RNAcentral lists this ribosomal RNA (873 nucleotides) under uncultured bacterium. RNAcentral describes it as "bacterial SSU rRNA". It matches the Rfam family "Bacterial small subunit ribosomal RNA", at positions 1 to 878 of the family's 1533-position model. The record is from RNAcentral.